RNAcentral lists this ribosomal RNA (491 nucleotides) under uncultured bacterium. RNAcentral describes it as "bacterial SSU rRNA". It matches the Rfam family "Bacterial small subunit ribosomal RNA", at positions 24 to 518 of the family's 1533-position model. The record is from RNAcentral.
UCAGGAUGAACGCUGGCGGCGUAGCUUAACACAUGCAAGUCGAACGGAGUUUUAACGGAAGUUUCGGAUGGAAGUUAGGAACUAGCGGCGGACGGGUGAGUAACGCGUGGGUAACCUGCCUCAGUACAGGGGGAUAACAGUUAGAAAUGACUGCUAAGACCGCAUAAUAUAGCGAAACCGCAUGAUUUUGCUAUCAAAUAUUUAUAGGUAUGAGAUGGGCCCGCGUCUGAUUAGCUAGUUGGUGGGGUAAAAGCCUACCAAGGCGACGAUCAGUAGCCGGCUUGAGAGAGUGACCGGCCACAUUGGGACUGAGACACGGCCCAAACUCCUACGGGAGGCAGCAGUGGGGAAUAUUGGACAAUGGGGGAAACCCUGAUCCAGCGACGCCCGCGUGAGUGAAGAAGUAUUUCGGUAUGUAAAGCUCUAUCAGCAGGGAAGAUAAUGACAGUACCUGACUAAGAAGCCCCGGCUAACUACGUGCCAGCAGCUGC